GCUACUUCGAGGUGCACGGCACGCAUGUGCAUACACGUAAACAGGCAAAUGUAACGCUUCUCGAUUCGGUUACGACCAAUACGGACAGAAAUUGGUCCUGCAUAACCCAGUCCGACAUUCUGGAAUGGGACACUAACGCCGGCAAGGCGUGUAGAUGGUAGGCUGCUCAUUCUCUGUGUGAGGGGCUGGAUGCGACGUCGGUGACAUAAUGGGCAUUUGACGGUGCAAUUCUUGACUUCCGAACGGCCGCGUAGAAUCCAAUACUUCUCACGUAUAUGGUUGAAUACGUGCUCAACUCCGGCGUGGAUCAGUUUCCGAU
This is a non-coding RNA of Paramuricea clavata, 319 nucleotides long. The record is from the annotation of a GenBank genome assembly. Lineage: Eukaryota; Metazoa; Cnidaria; Anthozoa; Malacalcyonacea; Plexauridae.